UAGAUACCCUGGUAGUCCACGCCCUAAACGAUGUCAACUAGUUGUUGGGGAUUCAUUUCCUUAGUAACGUAGCUAACGCGUGAAGUUGACCGCCUGGGGAGUACGGUCGCAAGAUUAAAACUCAAAGGAAUUGACGGGGACCCGCACAAGCGGUGGAUGAUGUGGAUUAAUUCGAUGCAACGCGAAAAACCUUACCUACCCUUGACAUGCCACUAACGAAGCAGAGAUGCAUUAGGUGCUCGAAAGAGAA
Molecule: ribosomal RNA, 250 nt
Filed under: uncultured bacterium
Lineage: Bacteria
Description: partial 16S ribosomal RNA
Rfam family: Bacterial small subunit ribosomal RNA
Source: RNAcentral